GUGGAAAUAGAGGCUCAGAGAGAGUAAAUGACCUUCAAGUUCUGGACAUGACCUGAAUGUUAGAGGCAAAAUACUUCAAGAGAUACCACCAGUGGUAAGCACUGACCCCAGUGAGAAGGGAAAAGUAGACCCAGGAGACUGACUGCAAAAAGAAGAGUUAGGAAAACCGUGAAAAGAACAUAAGAAAUAUUUGCUUGCCAUGGAUGAGUCACUUCCUUGGUUCUUUACAAGGUUACAGCCCCAGAAAAGAGCCGCUUCUCUGAUGCACCAGGACUUCAGCUCAGCUGGGCCGCAGGGUUACUUUCAACGUGAGACUGAAGUUUGAAAUCGGUUCCUUCAAGCCCGUGACCUGGUGAGCUCUGGGAAAUGUGACCAGCUGGAGUAAAGGAAGUGAACCCGAACGGCCAGUUCUCUUGGGCGAACGUGCUCAGCGUCGCAGAAGCAAGGGCCUGCAUCCGGACGUCCCCCCCUUGGACCUCACAGCCGCUGGCUUCACUAGGAACAUCCUGGGCCGAAGUGUGCUGAUGUGUGUGCCCUACGUAUCAGGAAGACAUCGCUUCUCUGAGGCAAGGCUGCACAUUAACCUAUUUGCAUUUCAUUGCUGUCCA
Molossus molossus (Pallas's mastiff bat) is the source of this 608-nucleotide long non-coding RNA. RefSeq lists it as uncharacterized. The transcript has 5 exons. The record is from RefSeq and is a predicted model, not a curated record. Lineage: Eukaryota; Metazoa; Chordata; Mammalia; Chiroptera; Molossidae.